GUGCUCGCUUCGGCAGCACAUAGACUAAAAUUGGAAUGAUACAGAGAAGAUUAGUAUGGCCCCUGUGCGAGCAUGAUACCCAAAUUCGUGAAGGUUCCAUAUUUUU
RNAcentral lists this small nuclear RNA (106 nucleotides) under Peromyscus maniculatus bairdii (prairie deer mouse). Lineage: Eukaryota; Metazoa; Chordata; Mammalia; Rodentia; Cricetidae. The record is from RNAcentral.